Molecule: ribosomal RNA, 497 nt
Filed under: uncultured bacterium
Lineage: Bacteria
Description: partial 16S ribosomal RNA
Rfam family: Bacterial small subunit ribosomal RNA
Source: RNAcentral
GAUGAACGCUGGCGGCGUGCCUAAUACAUGCAAGUCGAGCGAACGGACGAGAAGCUUGCUUCUCUGAUGUUAGCGGCGGACGGGUGAGUAACACGUGGAUAACCUACCUAUAAGACUGGGAUAACUUCGGGAAACCGGAGCUAAUACCGGAUAAUAUUUUGAACCGCAUGGUUCAAAAGUGAAAGACGGUCUUGCUGUCACUUAUAGAUGGAUCCGCGCUGCAUUAGCUAGUUGGUAAGGUAACGGCUUACCAAGGCAACGAUGCAUAGCCGACCUGAGAGGGUGAUCGGCCACACUGGAACUGAGACACGGUCCAGACCCCUACGGGAGGCAGCAGUAGGGAAUCUUCCGCAAUGGGCGAAAGCCUGACGGAGCAACGCCGCGUGAGUGAUGAAGGUCUUCGGAUCGUAAAACUCUGUUAUUAGGGAAGAGCAUAUGUGUAAGUAACUGUGCACAUCUUGACGGUACCUAAUCAGAAAGCCACGGCUAACUACGUG